Molecule: ribosomal RNA, 347 nt
Filed under: uncultured bacterium
Lineage: Bacteria
Description: partial 16S ribosomal RNA
Rfam family: Bacterial small subunit ribosomal RNA
Source: RNAcentral
CCUACGGGAGGCAGCAGUAGGGAAUGUUGCGCAAUGGGCGAAAGCCUGACGCAGCAACGCCGCGUGAACGAGACGGCCUUCGGGGUGGAAAGGUCUGUCAGGGGGGACGAAAAAGGACGGUACCCACAGAGGAAGCACCGGCUAACUCCGUGCCAGCAGCCGCGGUAAUACGGAGGGUGCAAGCGUUGUCCGGAAUCAGUGGGCGUAAAGAGUUCGUAGGCGGCCUGUAAAGUCAGGUGUUAAAGGCGCAGGCUCAACCUGUGGAUGGCACUUGAUACUUGCAAGCUGGACUGCGGUAGAGGUAACGGCAAUUCCUGGUGUCGCGGUGUACUGCUUAGAUAUCAGGA